CAUGAUAAUUAGACAAAAUUAAUGUUAAGUACUUAAAGUUAGGGUCUUGAGAGUUUUCGGGUAAAAAUUUGACGACGGAUCAGUUAAAAAUUACACCGGGUCUCACUAAAGGACGAAUAUCACUUAAGUGACAUGGCACCCCUCAUUAGGGCACCCUCCUCUCCUUCCCUUCCAUUUCUGAUCAGCAGCCCCUUCACCUCCUUCUCUCUCUAAGUUUCAAAUUUUGAAAACUCUCUCACUUCUCUCUAAGAUUUCUUCACCUAAAUCUCUCUAAACCACCAAACUUCCUUCACAAAGAUUGUUCCCCUCACUCUCCUCUUCACAACCAUACCAUUUUCAUGGUGUGAAUCAAAAAUUUCGUGUCCCUUAUCAUCCCAAACAGCCAUGGUUUUGUGGAGAGCAAAGGCUAUGGAGUUGUGUUCUUGAGCUCUCUUGAAGAAUCACACUUGCUUGCUUGUUUCCUUUGAUUUUUGGGUGUGUGCUUGCCUAAAGGUGUGUUCUUGGUGGAAAAAGGUGGAGACUUGAGCUAAAGGAGAAACCUUGAAGAUGUGUGCCUAGAGAACCGUGCACUUGAGGAUUUUGUUGGAGCAUACGUAUUAUAUUGGAGUGUGGGCUUGUGCUAAGCUCCCUAAGGUAAGCUCCUAGUUCUAGUUGACUCCUCUCUCUUGUGGCCCCACCAUGAUGGUGGGCAUUAUGGUUAUAUUGUAUGAAAGUAUAUGGUAUGAUGUAUAUGUGCAUUCAUUCACAUUCAUAUAGAUGUUAUAUGAUCUUGAUGUUAUGAUGAUGCACUGAUGAUAUAUGUUAUG
Long non-coding RNA from Gastrolobium bilobum, 806 nucleotides. RefSeq lists it as uncharacterized. The transcript is spliced from 3 exons. NCBI's taxonomy places the organism in Eukaryota, Viridiplantae, Streptophyta, Magnoliopsida, Fabales, Fabaceae. The record is from RefSeq and is a predicted model, not a curated record.